This 291-nucleotide unclassified non-coding RNA is filed under the name uncultured fungus. RNAcentral's name for it is "partial contains 18S rRNA, ITS1, 5.8S rRNA, ITS2 and 28S rRNA". Lineage: Eukaryota; Fungi. The record is from RNAcentral.
AUGGAUCAUUACCAAUUUAACUUUGCUGGUUUGUAUCGGACCCGAGUGGUUCGGUGCACAACUACCAUGUAAACGUUGAACUUGAUCAUCAGUGUUGUGGAUUGUCGGUCUGAUUUAUUUCGGUCAGGCAUUCCCCACGCUGAUACCAUUUUAUAUAAUAUACACUCGUAUAUACUACAAACAAACAAACAAAUACAGUUUUAAUAGGACUUAUCAUGGACCGAGUGGGUAACAGCCUCAGUCUUAAAAAUAUAACUAUUACAACUUUCAGCAAUGGAUCUCUAGGCUCUC